Molecule: ribosomal RNA, 252 nt
Filed under: uncultured Lactobacillus sp.
Lineage: Bacteria; Bacillati; Bacillota; Bacilli; Lactobacillales; Lactobacillaceae
Description: partial 16S ribosomal RNA
Rfam family: Bacterial small subunit ribosomal RNA
Source: RNAcentral
UAACACGUGGGCAACCUGCCCUGAAGCGGGGGAUAACAUCUGGAAACAGGUGCUAAUACCGCAUAACAACGAAAACCACAUGGUUUUCGUUUCAAAGAUGGUUUCGGCUAUCACUUCAGGAUGGGCCCGCGGUGCAUUAGCUAGUUGGUAAGGUAACGGCUUACCAAGGCGAUGAUGCAUAGCCGAGUUGAGAGACUGAUCGGCCACAAUGGAACUGAGACACGGUCCAUACUCCUACGGGAGGCAGCAGCG